UAUCUGGCAAAAAAAAGUGACUCUCUGCCACGUAGAUCGAGAUAUUAAUCAUUGAAGUUAACGACUAUUCAGAUUAAGAAAUCUAUCACAUCAAUGGUAUAAAGACAUGAGAACAUUAAUAUAGAUGUCAAGAUGCGCGCGCAGAGAAGGAUAGAUUGCCUCGAUAUUUUGUUUUUGCCAAACUCAGCAUAUAGAAAAAGUUGAAAAUCACUUGACCUUACAACCAACCAUAUGAGAGGCAUGCACUUGACAUUCCGAAUUGGAACAUGCAAAAAUAUUAACAUUGUAUGUAAAAAUUUGGCACAUUAAUGAUGGCUCAGGAUGAAAUCGAAAUGUUUUUUCUUUAGUAUGUAUUAUGUAUUAUAUUGAAUUA
This is a long non-coding RNA of Trachymyrmex septentrionalis, 373 nucleotides long. RefSeq lists it as uncharacterized. The transcript has 3 exons. NCBI's taxonomy places the organism in Eukaryota, Metazoa, Arthropoda, Insecta, Hymenoptera, Formicidae. The record is from RefSeq and is a predicted model, not a curated record.